AGAGUUUGAUCCUGGCUCAGGAUGAACGCUAGCUACAGGCUUAACACAUGCAAGUCGAGGGGAAACGACAUCGAAAGCUUGCUUUUGAUGGGCGUCGACCGGCGCACGGGUGAGUAACGCGUAUCCAACCUGCCCACCACUUGGGGAUAACCUUGCGAAAGUAAGACUAAUACCCGAUGAUAUCUCUAGAAGACAUCUGAAAGGGAUUAAAGAUUUAUCGGUGAUGGAUGGGGAUGCGUCUGAUUAGCUUGUUGGCGGGGUAACGGCCCACCAAGGCAACGAUCAGUAGGGGUUCUGAGAGGAAGGUCCCCCACAUUGGAACUGAGACACGGUCCAAACUCCUACGGGAGGCAGCAGUGAGGAAUAUUGGUCAAUGGGCGAGAGCCUGAACCAGCCAAGUAGCGUGCAGGAUGACGGCCCUAUGGGUUGUAAACUGCUUUUAUAAGGGAAUAAAGUGAGUCUCGUGAGACUUUUUGCAUGUACCUUAUGAAUAAGGACCGGCUAAUUCCGUGCCAGCAGCCGCGGUAAUACGGAAGGUCCGGGCGUUAUCCGGAUUUAUUGGGUUUAAAGGGAGCGUAGGCCGGAGAUUAAGCGUGUUGUGAAAUGUAGACGCUCAACGUCUGCACUGCAGCGCGAACUGGUUUCCUUGAGUACGCACAAAGUGGGCGGAAUUCGUGGUGUAGCGGUGAAAUGCUUAGAUAUCACGAAGAACUCCGAUUGCGAAGGCAGCUCACUGGAGCGCAACUGACGCUGAAGCUCGAAAGUGCGGGUAUCGAACAGGAUUAGAUACCCUGGUAGUCCGCACGGUAAACGAUGGAUGCCCGCUGUUGGUCUGAAUAGGUCAGCGGCCAAGCGA
Molecule: ribosomal RNA, 856 nt
Filed under: uncultured bacterium
Lineage: Bacteria
Description: bacterial SSU rRNA
Rfam family: Bacterial small subunit ribosomal RNA
Source: RNAcentral